This 426-nucleotide ribosomal RNA is filed under the name uncultured bacterium. RNAcentral's name for it is "bacterial SSU rRNA". It matches the Rfam family "Bacterial small subunit ribosomal RNA", at positions 917 to 1344 of the family's 1533-position model. The record is from RNAcentral.
GGGCCCGCACAAGCGGUGGAGUAUGUGGUUUAAUUCGAUGCAACGCGAAGAACCUUACCAGGGUUUGACAUCCUGCGAAUCUCUUGGAAACAGGAGAGUGCCUUCGGGAACGCAGUGACAGGUGGUGCAUGGCUGUCGUCAGCUCGUGUCGUGAGAUGUUGGGUUAAGUCCCGCAACGAGCGCAACCCACGUCUUUAGUUGCCAGCAUUUAGUUGGGCACUCUAGAGAGACUGCCGGUGAUAAACCGGAGGAAGGUGUGGAUGACGUCAAGUCAUCAUGCCCCUUACAUCCUGGGCUACACACGUACUACAAUGCUACGGACAAAGGGCAGCAAGUUCGCGAGGACAAGCAAAUCCCAUAAACCGUGGCUCAGUUCAGAUCGUAGGCUGCAACUCGACUCCAUGAAGUCGGAAUCGCUAGUAAUCG